UGGCCUCAGAUCAGGGAGGAUCACCCGC
This 28-nucleotide non-coding RNA is filed under the name Bombyx mori (domestic silkworm). The record is from RNAcentral. RNAcentral also lists the same sequence under 1 other name. Lineage: Eukaryota; Metazoa; Arthropoda; Insecta; Lepidoptera; Bombycidae.